Molecule: long non-coding RNA, 266 nt
Organism: Teleopsis dalmanni
Lineage: Eukaryota; Metazoa; Arthropoda; Insecta; Diptera; Diopsidae
Exons: 3
Source: RefSeq, a predicted model, not a curated record
AGUUUAGAAUAUCAAAUAAUAUAACUUUAACUUAAAUCAAAUAUCAUAUAUCGUUUUUAACGAUGGAUCAUGAAAUACCUUCGUUUAUAUGCUAUACAUACCACCGUAUCGCCUUUUUUUGGACCAGUUCGAUUUGCGGGGACUGCUGACAUUAACUGACUAUAUCGUUGCUGAUUUAGUGGAGCUAUUAUUAAAAUUUCCAUUUGAAAUUAUAUAAACUAUGUUAUUUUAUAUUAUUAUAAAAUAAACUACUAUGAAAUUGAGAC